RNAcentral lists this small nuclear RNA (107 nucleotides) under Tursiops truncatus (common bottlenose dolphin). The record is from RNAcentral. Lineage: Eukaryota; Metazoa; Chordata; Mammalia; Artiodactyla; Delphinidae.
GUGCUUGCCUCGGCAGCACAUACACUAAAAUUGGAAUGAUAUAGAGAAGAUCAGCAUGGCCCCUGUGCAAGGAUGACACGCAAAUUCAUAAAGCGUUCCACAUUUUU